UACAGAGGUCUCGAGCGUUGUUCGGAUUCACUGGGCGUAAAGGGCGCGUAGGCGGCGGGGUAAGUCUGGUGUGAAAUCUCGGAGCUCAACUCCGAAAUUGCACUGGAUACUGCUUUGCUAGAGGGCUGGAGAGGAGAUCGGAAUUCACGGUGUAGCAGUGAAAUGCGUAGAUAUCGUGAGGAAGACCAGUGGCGAAGGCGGAUCUCUGGACAGCUCCUGACGCUGAGGCGCGAAGGCUAGGGGAGCAAACGGG
This 253-nucleotide ribosomal RNA is filed under the name uncultured bacterium. RNAcentral's name for it is "partial 16S ribosomal RNA". It matches the Rfam family "Bacterial small subunit ribosomal RNA", at positions 524 to 776 of the family's 1533-position model. The record is from RNAcentral.